Molecule: ribosomal RNA, 1218 nt
Filed under: Triticum aestivum (bread wheat)
Lineage: Eukaryota; Viridiplantae; Streptophyta; Magnoliopsida; Poales; Poaceae
Description: partial small subunit ribosomal RNA
Source: RNAcentral
AUGGCAGGGGCACUAGCGGAGUACAAAGUCAGUCUGGCUCAACUGUACAUCAUGGGAAAAGCUGAUGUUUGGUUACAUAGCUCGGGCAUACCGAAGAAGCAAUUAACGUGGUCUCAAUUCUGUGAAGAAAUACUACGCAGGUUUUCAUCAGCAAGUUCAUAUGAUCUGACAGAGAAGUUCACUAACUUGAAACAGAAUAAUCUCACUGUGUCUGAAUACACAGAUCAGUUUGAGGAGCUUAUGGCAGAAGUGCAGGCAGAAAACCCAAUAAUUGACGAGAGUUGGUUUAUACGAUGCUAUGUAAAUUGUCUUCGUUCUCACAUCAAGUUUCAAGUGCGUCCACUAUGGCCUGUUUCACUCACUGAAGCUUAUUGGUUAGCUGUGGAUCUAGAAAGAGCACUACCUGAGAAGAAAUCUUACAGUUCAUAUGCAGGCAAUGGCAAGAGCUCAGGCAGCUACCAGAAAGUAUCCACUCCUGCUCCUAUAAAAGCAACUGAACCUAAACAACCUGUAGUGAAUCAAAGGGCUCGAGAGCCAGGCAAAUGCUGGAGAUGUGGAGAUGUGUGGUUUCAUGGUCACAAAUGUAAACUUGCACCUGUCCUGAAUGUCCUUACAGGUGAAGAACCCACUGAACAACCAACAGGGCAGGAAGUUCUAGAGGAAAAUGAACUUGAAGAGCAACCACAGACUGAAGAAAAAUGUAUGACCAUUUCUGCACAGGCAAUGCAGUCAGAUAAUGUCAACACAAUCUCAAUCUUGGUGCAGAUUGGAGGAAAGCAAGGAAUUGCACUUGUAGAUUCAGGGAGCAACUCCACCUUCAUCAGCCUUAAGUUUGCAUUGUCUACAAAUUGCACCAUCCUCAAAGACACUUCCAGAGCUGUAACUGUUGCAGGUGGGGGCACAUUGUGGUUUGGUGCUUUUGUUCCCACAACCACUUUUGUAGCUGGCAAUACCAAAUUUGCACAGCAGUUCAGAGUGCUUGAUCUCCCUGGUCAUGAUAUGGUACUUGGAAGUGAUUGGAUGGCCAACCACAGUCCUGUCUCCUUCCACUACAACCCCAUACAAAUUAAUGUUAUGCAAAACAAGCUCACACCUACCACUAUCAAAGCUUGUGACACCAUAGCAGAAGCCACACCAAUUGAAGCUGCUGAAGUGGAUAAGCUCAUGCAUCUCUCCAGCAUCUCAAGACAAACUUGUCGGUUGCUCAAGCCCGCAUGA